AGAGUUUGAUUAUGGCUCAGGAUGAACGCUGGCGGCGUGCUUAACACAUGCAAGUCGAACGGAGUUUUAACGGAAGUUUCGGAUGGAAGUUUAAGAACUUAGUGGCGGACGGGUGAGUAACGCGUGGGUAACCUGCCUCAUACAGGGGGAUAACAGUUAGAAAUGACUGCUAACACCGCAUAAUAUAGUGAAACCGCAUGAUUUUUGCUAUCAAAUAUUUAUAGGUAUGAGAUGGGCCCGCGUCUGAUUAGCUAGUUGGUGGGGUAAAAGCCUACCAAGGCGACGAUCAGUAGCCGGCUCGAGAGAGUGACCGGCCACAUUGGGACUGAGACACGGCCCAAACUCCUACGGGAGGCAGCAGUGGGGAAUAUUGGACAAUGGGGGAAACCCUGAUCCAGCGACGCCCGCGUGAGUGAAGAAGUAUUUCGGUAUGUAAAGCUCUAUCAGCAGGGAAGAUAAUGACAGUACCUGACUAAGAAGCCCCGGCUAACUACGUGCCAGCAGCAGC
Molecule: ribosomal RNA, 508 nt
Filed under: uncultured bacterium
Lineage: Bacteria
Description: bacterial SSU rRNA
Rfam family: Bacterial small subunit ribosomal RNA
Source: RNAcentral